This 23-nucleotide microRNA is filed under the name Human betaherpesvirus 5. RNAcentral's name for it is "hcmv-miR-US22-3p". Its record names the gene hcmv-miR-US22-3p. The record is from miRBase by way of RNAcentral. Lineage: Duplodnaviria; Heunggongvirae; Peploviricota; Herviviricetes; Herpesvirales; Orthoherpesviridae.
UCGCCGGCCGCGCUGUAACCAGG